AGAUGUGAGAUUUCUGAUUUGAACAACUGCGACGCUGCGACAUUUGAAUUUCUCCAAAGGCGAAACGAUUAUAUCAAAAGAAGAAAUGUUCUUUCCAUCAGACUAUUUUGAGAUAAUCGUAUGGAUCAACAUCCAUCUCUGCUUUCCUCUCACCUUUCUGGUAAUUCCUCUGUGUUUUAUGGUCCGACUGGAUCACAUUCCUGUCUCCUACUACAUAAACCUCCUCAUAUCCAAUUUGAUCCUGAUCAUCACUCUGAUCUCUGAUAGUGCAUUUAGUCUUUCUAAAUACGGUUAUAAGACCUUCGUACAUCACUGGCCACCCUACUUGUGCUUUGGGGCGGCCAGCGCUUGCUUCAAGAUGAUUUUUGCAGUAGAAAGGUUUCUUUUCCUCUACAGGCCACAGUUUCACUUCAUAAGAAAGACAAAAGGCUUUAUAACAUUCUGUGUUUUGGCCUGGAUUAUUUGUAUUGUUCUUUUUGCUAUUUUAAUCUCUUCCCUCUAUUAUACAGGAAUAAUAUCUGUUGUCUUCACUGCCAGCAUGUUCAUCAUCUGUCUAGCUUUAACUCUCAAAUCUCUCUUUGUCGCCACCUCAGAAUCGGCUGAAGAAAAGUACAGAGUUGUUGGAGCAUUAGUUCUGUUGCUGGUUAAUUACAUUUUUUUAAUUCUCCCCAUGAUUAAUUUUUCAAUCAUUCCAGAUUUUUAUGAUUUGAACAUGAAUCUAUUUUUUACCUUGAGUCUGCACUGCCCUGUAAUAGAUUUUCUCUUGUUGGGUUUUAUGUCCAAAGGGCCUUUUAUCAGGCUGCUGAUGCGUCUCUGCUGCUGCAGGAAGAGGAAUCCUGCAGAGAACGACAGCAGCAGAUCAGCUGUUGGAUUAUAGUACAGAUUAUGGGCUCAGAGACAGAGACUAAGGACAGAGGAAGGGUAUGAAAAUAACAAAAUACAUACAUUUAGUAGAAAUAUAUGAUGAUAAACAUACUGAAACACCAAAGAUACCAUAGCUUGCAGAUGUUAGUAGAUUCUGUAAUUGGGUUCAUAAAGAAGCUGACAGUCACAAGAAUCACAAAAGACCAAAAAUCUAAUUCCAGUUGCUAUGAAAUAUGAUUAAAUAAACUGAUCCCCCCAAAAACCGCCUUCAGUCUGAGAAUGUUUAUUUCAUGAGAAAAAGAGUCCCACUUUAAAAUAUAACAGUUUUUAAUGAACAUAACUUGGGCCACAAUUACUGAUACCCUCAGACAUUUAUAUAACUGGAAUGAUUUUUUUCUAAUGUAAACUUUAGAAGAAGGUUUUAGUCAAAAAUGAUUUUCUUCUUCCUGGGGGAACAUAAGUUAUCCAUCAAACACAAGAGGAAGAGAAAAAUAUCUCCAAAGCUCCCAGGUGGUGAACUAAACUGAUUGGAUCAGUCAGAGAUGAAUUGAUCAGGGAUCCUUCAGCCUCAGCAGCUCAAAGGUUAAAUCCUGUUCAGGUGUUUUUGUUGUUUUGCUCAGAAGGAGAAUCCAGACGUUAGAAAUAAAAGGAUGUUUGGGAAAUUCAGGAGAAUUUAGAUUUGAUAGAAAGAAAUCAAUUUUAUAUGAGUUAUAAUAGGUUUUGUAGUUUAAUUGUUCUGUUUUUAGUUGAUAUUAACUGUUUUCACUGUAUUUGUUUUUACUUCAGUGUAACUUUGUAAAAUAUGCUGUUUAACAUGGAUGCUAUAUUCUUCAGAAUUUGUCUGUUUGGUCUAUUUAAAUUUUGAUUUUAUUUUUCCUUCCAUUUUUUGUGAUAUUUGUUUGAUGUUUACAACUUUAUAAACAUACUCAUGUGAUGAAAUAGUCUGUAUGAAGAAAGACCAAAUUAAAUUAAUCUGAACUCAAAUAAAUGACAAUUUUUCUUUUCUAGUGGAGCAUUGCAAAUAAAAGGUAAACUAUAAUUAUCCAAGGUUAAAUAUGAGUUACUGUCCAUGUGGUUCAAAUUAUUGCAAAAAAUUUGUGACUUUAUGUGAUACUGUUGUUUAUUGUUUUCUUUCAGGCUUG
Molecule: long non-coding RNA, 2006 nt
Organism: Xiphophorus maculatus (southern platyfish)
Lineage: Eukaryota; Metazoa; Chordata; Actinopteri; Cyprinodontiformes; Poeciliidae
Exons: 4
Source: RefSeq, a predicted model, not a curated record